GGCGCACGCCUGAUCCAGCCAUGCCGCGUGCGGGAAGAAGGCCUUCGGGUUGUAAACCGCUUUUGUCAGGGAAGAAACGCGCUGGGUUAAUACCUCGGCGUAAUGACGGUACCUGAAGAAUAAGCACCGGCUAACUACGUGCCAGCAGCCGCGGUAAUACGUAGGGUGCAAGCGUUAAUCGGAAUUACUGGGCGUAAAGCGUGCGCAGGCGGUUGUGUAAGACAGAUGUGAAAUCCCCGGGCUCAACCUGGGAACUGCAUUUGUGACUGCACGGCUAGAGUGCGGCAGAGGGGGAUGGAAUUCCGCGUGUAGCAGUGAAAUGCGUAGAUAUGCGGAGGAACACCGAUGGCGAAGGCAAUCCCCUGGGCCUGCACUGACGCUCAUGCACGAAAGCGUGGGGAGCAAACAGGAUUAGAUACCCUGGUAGUCCACGCCCUAAACGAUGUCAACUGGUUGUUGGACGGCUUGCUGUUCAGUAACGAAGCUAACGCGUGAAGUUGACCGCCUGGGGAGUACGGCCGCAAGGUUGAAACUCAAAGA
This 540-nucleotide ribosomal RNA is filed under the name Piscinibacter sp. enrichment culture. RNAcentral describes it as "bacterial SSU rRNA". It matches the Rfam family "Bacterial small subunit ribosomal RNA", at positions 374 to 907 of the family's 1533-position model. The record is from RNAcentral. Lineage: Bacteria; Pseudomonadati; Pseudomonadota; Betaproteobacteria; Burkholderiales; Sphaerotilaceae.